Molecule: ribosomal RNA, 503 nt
Filed under: uncultured Entrophospora
Lineage: Eukaryota; Fungi; Glomeromycota; Glomeromycetes; Entrophosporales; Entrophosporaceae
Description: SSU rRNA
Rfam family: Eukaryotic small subunit ribosomal RNA
Source: RNAcentral
AGCAGCCGCGGUAAUUCCAGCUCCAAUAGCGUAUAUUAAAGUUGUUGCAGUUAAAAAGCUCGUAGUUGAAUUUCGGGAUUGACGUGAUGGUCGUGCCUUAAGGGGUAUGAACUGUCGCAGUUGAUUUCUCACCUUCUGGAGAAGCUUGAUGUCCUUAAUUGGGUGUCAUGUGGAACCAGGACCUUUACCUUGAAAAAAUUAGAGUGUUUAAAGCAGGCAUUUUGCUCGAAUACAUUAGCAUGGAAUAAUAGAAUAGGACGGCAUGGUUCUAUUUUGUUGGUUUCUAGGAUCACCGUAAUGAUUAAUAGGGAUAGUUGGGGGCAUUAGUAUUCAAUUGUCAGAGGUGAAAUUCUUGGAUUUAUUGAAGACUAACUACUGCGAAAGCAUUUGCCAAGGAUGUUUUCAUUAAUCAAGAACGAAAGUUAGGGGAUCGAAGACGAUCAGAUACCGUCGUAGUCUUAACCAUAAACUAUGCCGACUAGGAAUCAGACGAUGUUAAUUUU